Molecule: long non-coding RNA, 739 nt
Organism: Ochlerotatus camptorhynchus
Lineage: Eukaryota; Metazoa; Arthropoda; Insecta; Diptera; Culicidae
Exons: 3
Source: RefSeq, a predicted model, not a curated record
UCUCGUGUUUCUAACGUUUCUAACUAUGAAAAAAUAUCAUAAAUUCAGGUGUAUUGCACGUUACAUUCCAUUAAAAUAUUCAUGAAUCUGCGCUACAGUGAAAAACAUACAGAUUCGAAGUAUUUUGCUCAUAGAAUGCUUGCUUAGCAAAAUUAAACAAAAAUAUUUUGCUUUCAACCAGUCAGCUUCAAGAGAGUAACAUAAAAACCCUGGUUUGGACCUGAAUCCAAAUGUAUAGAAGCGGCAAAAACAAAUGGAAAAUGUUAAAUUUUGAACCCGUGGGCGGACGUUUGCGGCCGAUAGAUCCAGGAUUGUUGUAAGUUUGUUUUCAGCGUUGGUGGAGUAGUCUAUUGAUGUUCGGAGAAAUCGAUUACAGAGGAUAUUCUGAGAACUGUAAAUUUAGUGACAUAUACCAGAUUAAAAAGUCUUUUUUGUUUGAUUUGUUUAAACUCAUUCCCUUAUCCAUCAUGAUGUUUCACCGUAUUGGUUUAAGUAUGGGUCAAUUCUAUCUGAAACGAUUAUAUAGAGGAAGAAAAUUAAUGGGUAGAAAAUGUUCUUUACAGUAUACGGGGAACAACUCAUGUCGAGGUUUAGUGAAACUUUUGAAUACAUUUGUGAAUAUUGAAAUGUUCACUAUUAUAUUUUUGUUAAUUAUUAGAUCAUUCUAGAUCUUGUCCCAUAUGCAUAGGAAAUCAAGCAGAGAUGGCAUAGUUUUACAUUUAUGAGCAGCAGCUAGCAU